CUGUGACCCAUGGCAAGGACUGAGACCCAGUCUAGAGGGGAGGAGAGGCUUCUCACCAAGAUCUCAUUUCUCGCUCAAAAAGGUGACGGAUAUUCCAAAAGUAACCCCAACACUGUCCACACAGCCAGCACCUAGGAAAAUAUACUCCUCUCCAGAGUGAAAGGCCACUGCAUGAAGGAAAACACCACAGAGCUUUACGGAGUGAUGAAAGGUCACACUUGCACCUACAAAGAGACAAUGUUCCGUGGUGGAGAGAGGAAAAACUUGAAACUGCAAUGAAUAGUCCAGUAAAGGAAAUGAACAGGCAGUUCCCAGGAGAAGGACUACAGAUGGCUGAUAAACAUAUGAGAUGUUCAGCCCAACUCAACCUAACUAUAAUGAGGAAACUACAAAUUAAAAACACAUGAUGUGCAGUGUAUUGCUUUUGCCCGUAAGACAAGCAAGAAUGAAAAAGACUGAUAGUACCCGGUGCUAGUGAGGGUGUAAGGAAGUGAGUACUUUUAUACUCUCUUGGUCACAGAGCCUUUCUCUAAGGAAACUUGAUAGUGUCCAUUACAAUAAAAAAUGGACUUGUUCUUUCA
RNAcentral lists this long non-coding RNA (581 nucleotides) under Felis catus (domestic cat). Its description in RNAcentral is "lncRNA (ENSFCAG00000048556.1)". Lineage: Eukaryota; Metazoa; Chordata; Mammalia; Carnivora; Felidae. The record is from RNAcentral.